GAUGAACGCUAGCGGGAGGCUUAACACAUGCAAGUCGAGGGGCAGCAUAGGGUAGCAAUACUCUGAUGGCGACCGGCAAACGGGUGAGUAACGCGUAUGCAACCUACCCUGUACAGGGGGAUAACCCGGAGAAAUUCGGACUAAUAUCCCGUAAUAAUAUCCGGAGGCAUCUUUGGAUAUUUAAAGUUCCGACGGUACGGGAUGGGCAUGCGUAACAUUAACUGGUUGGUAAGGUAACGGCUUACCAAGGCUAUGAUGUUUAGGGGUCCUGAGAGGGUGGUCCCCCACACUGGUACUGAGACACGGACCAGACUCCUACGGGAGGCAGCAGUGAGGAAUAUUGGUCAAUGGGCGCAAGCCUGAACCAGCCAUCCCGCGUGCAGGAAGACGGCCCUAUGGGUUGUAAACUGCUUUUCCAGGGAGAGAAACUUACGCACGUGUUGCGUGACUGACGGUACCCUGGGAAUAAGCAUCGGCUAACUCCGUG
RNAcentral lists this ribosomal RNA (487 nucleotides) under uncultured bacterium. RNAcentral's name for it is "bacterial SSU rRNA". It matches the Rfam family "Bacterial small subunit ribosomal RNA", at positions 28 to 507 of the family's 1533-position model. The record is from RNAcentral.